UGGGGAAUAUUGCACAAUGGCGGGAACUCUGAUGCAGCGACGCCGCGUGAGUGAUGAAGGAAUUCGUUUCGUAAAACUCUGUUCUAUGGGAAGAAAAGGACUGUACCAUAGGAGAAAGCUCCGGCUAAAUACGUGCCAGCAGCCGCGGUAAUACGUAUGGAGCGAGCGUUGUCCGGAAUUAUUGGGCGUAAAGGGUGCGCAGGCGGCUUUACAAGUUGGAUGUGAAAUAUUGUUGCUCAACCACAAACGUGCAUCCAAAACUGGAAAGCUUGAGUUAAGGAGAGGUAAGUGGAAUUCCUGGUGUAGCGGUGGAAUGCGUAGAUAUCAGGAGGAAUACCGGUGGCGAAGGCGACUUACUGGACUUAAACUGACGCUCAGGCACGAAAGCGUGGGGAGCAAACAGG
RNAcentral lists this ribosomal RNA (404 nucleotides) under Fusobacteriota bacterium. RNAcentral's name for it is "Fusobacteria bacterium partial 16S ribosomal RNA". It matches the Rfam family "Bacterial small subunit ribosomal RNA", at positions 355 to 776 of the family's 1533-position model. The record is from RNAcentral. Lineage: Bacteria; Fusobacteriati; Fusobacteriota.